Molecule: RNA transcript, 1002 nt
Organism: Helianthus annuus (common sunflower)
Lineage: Eukaryota; Viridiplantae; Streptophyta; Magnoliopsida; Asterales; Asteraceae
Gene name: ubiquitin carboxyl-terminal hydrolase 14-like
Exons: 4
Source: RefSeq, a predicted model, not a curated record
CUCCGUUUCUUCUUAAAUUCGAUGUUUUUUUUUUUGUUACUAGGUAGUUUAAUUUGAUGAAUUUUUGAUUUAGGGGUUCUUAUUAUGAUUAGAAAUUGUUAGGGUUUCUAUAGUUUCAAAUUUAUAGCAGUUGUGAAGAUUCUUGUGUAUUUGUAAUGCUUAGUUAAUUUGCUAGAAUUCAGUAAAGAUCACCAAGUGUUCGAUGAAAUGAUCGAAUGAACAAGACAUCAAUCACAUGGUUUUAGAGUACUUGCUCAGCAUUGGUGCUUCGAUCAUUGAAGGCUCUAACAAUGAAGAUGAAGACAUUGAUUUCGUUGACGAUGACGAUAAUUCGGAAGGUAAGGUUGGUAGUUGAUGCAAUUUUAAUUGCGGAGGCAGGAGGGUGCUGAACGUAAGGAGCAAAUUGCAUCAUGGACAGCUGAUAAAAAGCAAGUUAGUCAACAUGCAUUGACUUUAAAACAGAUAGAUAACGGUGUCAGAAUUCCUCCAUCUGGAUGGAAAUGUGCCAAGUGUGACAAAACUAAGAAUCUAUGGUUGAAUUUAACUGAUGGAAUGAUUCUUUGUGGUCGGAAACUUUGGUAUGGCAGUGGUGGUAAUAACCAUGCUAUUGAACAUUAUGAAACUCAUUAUCCGCUUGCUGUUAAGCUUGGAACAAUAACUUCUGAUCCGGAAGGAGCAGCUCAGAUGUUUUUUCUUAUCCGGAGGAUGAUAGUGUGACUGAUCCUCUUCUGGCUGAGCAUUUGGGCAAAGUGCAUGACAAUGUGACGAACUAUACACAAAUUGUCAUUGUAUGUAAUGAGUUAAAUUCCAUUUUUACUAGCUUUGAGUCACAUUACCGAAGUAACAUCCUUUUCAAUUGUCACUGAAUACUUAAACUUACUUUUUAACAUGUAGAUAUGGUGAGAUUGUUGAUGUGAACCUGGUUAGAGAUAAAGGCACAAGAAAAUCGGAAGGCUUUGCUUUUGUUGCAUAUGAGGACCAGAGAAGUACAAUUCUUGCUGU